CACCAGCAAAUGAGAAACUGCAGGAAGACUGCAGACCUUUUUUUUUUUUGAGUUUAGAUUGUGACUGAAAAUUAAAAAUCCUUCCACUUUCUUGGAGGCCUAAAUUUGCUCAAGUGUCAGUCUGUUUGCUUUUCACUUGUCUUUCGUGGCUUAGUCAUGCUAGUUCUUUAAUUAUCAAAGUUAUUUGUGUUUAAACAAUUUGUCUCUCUCUUCCUGUUUGAUCCUUCAGAGAUUCUUAAAAUGCAGCUGCUUAGAAACUGCUAUUUUUAUUGAAACACCUGAUGCAUUAAUAUACAGGGCCUUAUGUUUGUUCCUUCCCCUCUAGGGAUGUUGCAUUGCUUUGCCACAAGGAAAAUAAAAUAGUAUGUCUCCACCUUUAAAAUUCCAUUUGGUAUAAUUGUUACUUUAAGCUGCCUUCACACAUCUGCUGAUCCACAAAGGAAAAAUAUGGGACUAUGUGCAAGGCUAGAAGGAAAGCAUUUGAUACUUUUGCUUGGACACUUCUAUGCUAAGUAUUUCCUGCCACCACUGAGCAGGCUACCUCAGUGAGGCCUUGUACUUUAGGGAAGAUGUCUGCUGACUUUCAACCUAAUUAGUCAAAGGAGAAAAAGAAAAAUGUUAGACUGAAAUCUGACCUUCAUCUAACCAAACAACUUUCAAGGUAAGUAAUUUGAAGCCCUUAAUGAAUCUCUUCAUGUUAACAUCUUAAUGCUUUUCACUUAAUGA
This 726-nucleotide long non-coding RNA is filed under the name Bos taurus (domestic cattle). RNAcentral describes it as "long non-coding RNA NONBTAT016114". The record is from RNAcentral. Lineage: Eukaryota; Metazoa; Chordata; Mammalia; Artiodactyla; Bovidae.